This 84-nucleotide transfer RNA is filed under the name Felis catus (domestic cat). It matches the Rfam family "tRNA". From Rfam's summary of the family: Transfer RNA (tRNA) molecules are approximately 80 nucleotides in length. Lineage: Eukaryota; Metazoa; Chordata; Mammalia; Carnivora; Felidae. The record is from Rfam by way of RNAcentral.
GCCUGGGUGGCUCAGUCGGUUAAGCACCUGACUUCAGCUCAGGUUGUGAUCUCGCCAUUCUGAGUUUGAGCCCCAUACCAGGCU